Molecule: long non-coding RNA, 1798 nt
Filed under: Monodelphis domestica (gray short-tailed opossum)
Lineage: Eukaryota; Metazoa; Chordata; Mammalia; Didelphimorphia; Didelphidae
Description: lncRNA (ENSMODG00000034329.2)
Source: RNAcentral
GUAUAGUAUGGAGGGGAGAGGGGUAUUAAGCUGAAAAGAGAUUAAACUUGGCUUGGUUGGUUCUCCAUCACAAUGGUGCUUAACCAUAUUUUCCAAACUAAAAAUCAGGACGCAUGAUUGGACAGUGAAAUUUAUGCACAGACUUAUUGUAUAGAACAAAUGUUAUUUUCUCAAAAUCAGUCCUGUUCCAGUAAAUCUGGGCUAGAUGGCGACUGUGGGGUGGACUAUAUGACAGCCAACACAAUCAGAAGACCUGGUUCAAGUUCCCCUUCUGACACACCAAGGGCAAGUUCCUUACCCUCUCAAGGUUCCAAUGCAGAGCCACACUGGGAGAUGGAUUUCCUCAGUGGAAGUCCUCUAGACCACUGUGACAUCAGAGGUCCAGUACCUUCUCUAGCAACAACAACAACAAAAUGGAGACUAGUACCUGGGUUGGAUGAAACUAAAAUUCAGGAGUACCGUAUUACUUGCUCAGGAUCACACAGUUUGUUCCUGAAUUGAAGAAUACAGGACGACAAUCAAGAUCGACAGCAGACAAGAGUGGCAUGCUGACCAGAUGACCAGAGUUUCUCCAAUCAACAUCAAAGGACAUGGAAGGACUUUGAAAGUUUGGACUUGUGAUCCUGAGGUUAUGUAAGAAUGCGACAUACAUAUUAACAUCACAUAUAUAUAUAUAUAUAUAUAUAUACACAUUCUACAAAGGAAGAUAUCUCAUGGAAUGGAAUUAAAUUUGACUACUUCCCUACUGAGGAACCUCUUUCUUCUUUCAAAGUGGAUGGCAGUGAGGGGAGAGGAACCAUCAAAGGGAUAUUCAAUUCUGGAUCUAAUUCUCACCAGAAAAGGAAGCACUGAACAAACUGUCUCGGGCUAUCCUUGCGAAAAAGAUGGAGAGAUGCCAAUGGGAUCACAAUGCAAAGAAGUAGAGUCAGCAUGGGCUGCAUGGCAGGACCCAAACAUUAAUCACGAAUAUUCAAUGCCACCUUGGAGAGAGAUCUUCCAUGCAGGGGAAUCUUUCUCAGUGCUGAGUGAACUUCAAAGAACACACCAUCAAGCAAAUGAUUUCAUGUGGGUCUGCUUUCCUCCUUGUCACAUUUCAGCCAGGACAGCUCAUAGCCAGGAAUCUUCUGCAACAUAGCCAAAGUGGAAAUGAAAUUUAAAAAGACUAGAUAACGAACGGACAAGUUAGUUCAUCUGAAACAAUUGGAGUUUUUAGUAUAUUGUAGCCUCAGUGCAGGUCAUCAGUGUCUUAUGAUGGCUAAGACAGUAAACUUGGUGUUCGGACAUGGUAUUCAGAAAGAAGCCAGUAAUAACUGUUUUAAAGGAUUUGAAUAGUUGUCCCAUGGAAGGUAAUGGAUAACAUGGAGUGAGUGUGUGAAGAACUAGUCUGGAAGCAAGGAAGAUGUGGGUUGAAAUUCUCCUUUUGGCCCCUAAUGACAAAUCACUAAACUUCUCAGUGGUUUAAGUGUUUCUUAAGACUGUAAGUUGCAGGGAAUGUGCUAACCUGCAUUGAUAGAAGAAGGUUCCGUUCUUUUGAACUACAACAGUGCAUGAGCUGCCUUCCGCCAGGUAGAGGGAGAGAGGAAUAGAAAUCUAGGAAGAGAAAUAGAAAGUGGGAGAGAAAGGAGGAAGACCAACUUUGCCUACUUCAAAAUUUUGCUCAGGCAUGCCAUUGAAAUGGGCUUUUAUCUAAGGCUCAUUGAAUUAGCUCUUAAAAUUUAUUAGGAAAUAUUCCAAGGGUGUGGUGUGUGUGUAUGUGUAUAUAUUUACUAAAACAAUAAAAUACUUCAUUUUCCUAACU